Molecule: RNase P RNA, 359 nt
Filed under: Actinomycetota bacterium
Lineage: Bacteria; Bacillati; Actinomycetota
Description: Actinobacteria bacterium RNase P RNA component class A
Rfam family: Bacterial RNase P class A
About the family: Ribonuclease P (RNase P) is a ubiquitous endoribonuclease, found in archaea, bacteria and eukarya as well as chloroplasts and mitochondria. Its best characterised activity is the generation of mature 5'-ends of tRNAs by cleaving the 5'-leader elements of precursor-tRNAs. Cellular RNase Ps are ribonucleoproteins.
Source: RNAcentral
GUGCAGGCCGGGUGACCGCGGGCCGCUCUGUCGUUUACGGCAGGGCUGUCUGAGGAAAGUCCGGACACCACAGGGCAAGGACGCUGGACCGUCUCCUCGAGGCGAUCCAGGCGGCGAAAGCCGACGGAAAGUGGAACAGAAAGGAGACCGCCGGCCGAUUUCCGAAAGGCAUUGGCCGGUAAGGGUGAAACGGUGGGGUAAGAGCCCACCAGCGGUCGUGGCGACACGACCGGCUAGCCAAACCCCGUCCGGUGCAAGGCGAAGCAGGUCCCGAUGACGCGGCCCGCUGAGGGACCGGGUACGCCGCAAAGAGAGAUGGUCAUCCUCGACAGAAUCCGGCUUACAGGCCUGCUACAGAA